Molecule: ribosomal RNA, 425 nt
Filed under: uncultured prokaryote
Description: bacterial SSU rRNA
Rfam family: Bacterial small subunit ribosomal RNA
Source: RNAcentral
CAGGGAAUCUUGCACAAUGGGCGAAAGCCUGAUGCAGCGACGCCGCGUGGGGGAUGAAGGCCCUAGGGUCGUAAACCCCUUUCAGCAGGGACGAAAAUGACGGUACCUGCAGAAGAAGGCCCGGCCAACUACGUGCCAGCAGCCGCGGUAAGACGUAGGGGCCAAGCGUUGUCCGGAAUUAUUGGGCGUAAAGAGCUCGUAGGCGGUUGCGUAAGUCGGAUGUGAAAACUCGAGGCUCAACCUCGAGACGCCAUCCGAUACUGCGCUGACUCGAAUCCAGUAGGGGAGUGUGGAAUUCCUGGUGUAGCGGUGAAAUGCGCAGAUAUCAGGAGGAACACCUAUGGCGAAGGCAGCACUCUGGGCUGGCAUUGACGCUGAGGAGCGAAAGCAUGGGUAGCAAACAGGAUUAGAGACCCCCGUAGUCC